RNAcentral lists this long non-coding RNA (226 nucleotides) under Populus trichocarpa (black cottonwood). Its description in RNAcentral is "long non-coding RNA (PTRI_LNC003875)". Lineage: Eukaryota; Viridiplantae; Streptophyta; Magnoliopsida; Malpighiales; Salicaceae. The record is from RNAcentral.
UCCCCACCAUCACCAUGGACGAAGAUCAUCCCUUUCCACUAGAUGGGAGUAGCGCGUUAAGUGGUGGCGCCUAUGAUCAAAGCUAAUCUUCCACCAGUUUCGUAAUAUAGCCUACACAAUUUGACUUGGGUACCCUAGAUUGCUUUAAAUGCGACACUGGAUAUGCAAAUAUCCUCAAACUAGUGGUCUGGGUGGAAAAAACUGUUAAAAAAUGAAUGAAACAGCC